This 253-nucleotide ribosomal RNA is filed under the name uncultured bacterium. Its description in RNAcentral is "partial 16S ribosomal RNA". It matches the Rfam family "Bacterial small subunit ribosomal RNA", at positions 524 to 776 of the family's 1533-position model. The record is from RNAcentral.
UACGUAGGUGGCAAGCGUUGUCCGGAUUUACUGGGCGUAAAGAGCUCGUAGGCGGCUUGUCACGUCGAUUGUGAAAGCCCGAGGCUUAACCUCGGGUCUGCAGUCGAUACGGGCUAGCUAGAGUGUGGUAGGGGAGAUCGGAAUUCCUGGUGUAGCGGUGAAAUGCGUAGAUAUCGAGAGGAACACCAGUGGCGAAGGCGAGUCUCUGGACGACUCCUGACACUGAGGCACGAAAGCUAGGGGAGCAAACAGG